GGGACAACUCGGAGGAAGGUGGGGAUGACGUCAAGUCAGCAUGCCCCUUACGUCCUGGGCUACACACGUACUACAAUGGUUGGGACAAAGGGCAGCAAGCUCGCGAGAGUAAGCGAAUCUCAUCAAACCCAGCCACAGUUCAGAUUGCAGGCUGCAACUCGCCUGCAUGAAGUAGGAAUCGCUAGUAAUCGCAGGUCAGCAUACUGCGGUGAAUUCGUUCCCGGGCCUUGUACACACCGCCCGUCACACCAUGGAAGCUGGCUACGCCCGAAGUCGUUACCCUAACCCGGUUUUGGGAGGGGGAUGCCGAAGGUAGAGCUAGUGACUGGGGUGAAGUCGUAACAAGGUAGCCGUACCGGAAGGUGUGGCUGGAUCACCUCCUUUACAGGGAGACCUAGUCUAAUUACCAAUAGAUGAAAAAGUUGGUAAUUCGCCAGAAUCCUUAGGUCGUGAAGGGAGCAAGAAAAAACUUUCAAACUGUAAUGGGUGAGGGUCAAUGGGCUAUUAGCUCAGGUGGUUAGAGCGCACCCCUGAUAAGGGUGAGGUCCCUGGUUCAAGUCCAGGAUGGCCCACCUGAAGUACACAGGCAUCCUGCCUGUGCCACAAAAAAAGGAAAAAAUUUUGGCAUUGUCUCUUGUAAGCAAGAGCAAGAGAUAAUGCUGGAAUCUAUUCCAGCAAGAACCUUGAAAACUGCAUAGAACUAGAAAGAAAAAGUCAGGUAGAAAAUCCUACAAGCUAGAGCUAGAAAGAGCAAAAGGU
Molecule: unclassified non-coding RNA, 759 nt
Filed under: uncultured cyanobacterium
Lineage: Bacteria; Bacillati; Cyanobacteriota
Description: partial contains 16S ribosomal RNA, 16S-23S ribosomal RNA intergenic spacer, and 23S ribosomal RNA
Rfam family: Bacterial small subunit ribosomal RNA (bases 1-384)
Source: RNAcentral